GAAACGACUGCUAAGACUGGAUAGGAAGAUAAAAGGCAUCUUGUAUCUUUUAAAAGACCUAGUUAAUAGGUAUGCUUUAGGAGGGGCUUGCGCCAUAUUAGUUAGUUGGUAGGGUAAUGGCCUACCAAGACGAUGAUGUGUAGCUGGACUGAGAGGUUGAACAGCCACAUUGGGACUGAGACACGGCCCAAACUCCUACGGGAGGCAGCAGUAGGGAAUUUUCGGCAAUGGAGGAAACUCUGACCGAGCAACGCCGCGUGAAUGACGAAGUACUUCGGUAUGUAAAGUUCUUUUAUCGAGGAAGAAAAGCAAAUGGCGAACCAUUUGUUUGCCGGUACUUGAUGAAUAAGCCCCGGCUAAUUAUGUGCCAGCAGCCGCGGUAAGACAUAAGGGGCAAGUGUUAUCCGGAAUUAUUGGGCGUAAAGGGUGCGUAGGCGGUCUAGUAAGUCAGUGGUGUAAUGUCAACGCUUAACGUUGUCCGGCUAUUGAAACUGCUAAACUUGAGUUAGAUAGAGGCGAGUGGAAUUCCAUGUGUAGCGGUAAAAUGCGUAAAUAUAUGGAGGAACACCAGAGGCGUAGGCGGCUCGCUGGGUCUUAACUGACGCUGAGGCACGAAAGCGUGGGGAGCAAACAGGAUUAGAUACCCUGGUAGUCCACGCCGUAAACGAUGAGUACUAAGUGUCGGGUUAAACCGGUACUGAAGUUAACACAUUAAGUACUCCGCCUGAGUAGUACGUACGCAAGUAUGAAACUUAAAGGAAUUGACGGGACUCCGCACAAGCGGUGGAUCAUGUUGUUUAAUUCGAAGAUACCCGAAAAACCUUACCAGGUCUUGACAUGUUUUUGCAAAAUGAUAGUAAUAUCGUGGAGGUUACCAGAAACACAGGUGGUGCAUGGUUGUCGUCAGCUCGUGUCGUGAGAUGUUAGGUUAAGUCCUAAAACGAGCGAAACCCUUAUCGUUAGUUGCCAGCACGUUAUGGUGGGGACUUUAACGAGACUGCCAAUGAUAAAUUGGAGGAAGGUGAGGAUCACGUCAAAUCAGCAUGCCCCUUAUGACCUGGGCUACAAACGUGAUACAAUGGCUGUUACAAAGGGUAGCUGAAACGCAAGUUCUUGGCCAAUCCCCAAAAACAGUCCCAGUCCGGAUUGAAGUCUGCAACUCGACUUCAUGAAGUUGGAAUCGCUAGUAAUCGCGAAUCAGCAUGUCGCGGUGAAUACGUUCGCGGGGUUUGUACACACCGCCCGUCA
This 1248-nucleotide ribosomal RNA is filed under the name 'Neonotonia wightii' little leaf phytoplasma. RNAcentral's name for it is "bacterial SSU rRNA". It matches the Rfam family "Bacterial small subunit ribosomal RNA", at positions 153 to 1399 of the family's 1533-position model. The record is from RNAcentral. Lineage: Bacteria; Bacillati; Mycoplasmatota; Mollicutes; Acholeplasmatales; Acholeplasmataceae.